Molecule: ribosomal RNA, 171 nt
Filed under: Aeschynomene aspera
Lineage: Eukaryota; Viridiplantae; Streptophyta; Magnoliopsida; Fabales; Fabaceae
Description: 5.8S ribosomal RNA
Rfam family: 5.8S ribosomal RNA
About the family: 5.8S ribosomal RNA (5.8S rRNA) is a component of the large subunit of the eukaryotic ribosome.
Source: RNAcentral
GUCCAUAACGACUCUCGGCAACGGAUAUCUCGGCUCUUGCAUCGAUGAAGAACGUAGUGAAAUGCGAUACUUGGUGUGAAUUGCAGAAUCCCGUGAACCAUUGAGUCUUUGAACGCAAGUUGCGCCCGAAGCCAUUAGGCUAAGGGCACGCCUGCCUGGGUGUCACCAAUC